This 912-nucleotide ribosomal RNA is filed under the name uncultured candidate division CAB-I bacterium. Its description in RNAcentral is "bacterial SSU rRNA". It matches the Rfam family "Bacterial small subunit ribosomal RNA", at positions 9 to 946 of the family's 1533-position model. The record is from RNAcentral.
GAGUUUGAUUCUGGCUCAGGAUGAACGCACAAGACGUGCCUAACACAUGCAAAUCGAAUGAAACCAAUAAUUAAUUAUUGGUUUCAUGGUGAACGGGUGAGUAACACAUAAGAAUCAGCUUUUAGAUAAGGCAUAAAAGAGUAAUAUCUUGGUAAUUCCUUAUAUGCGCAGCAGUGCUUAAAAAGGGGACUCCCGUCUAAAAACGAGCUUAUGCCUGAUUAGCUAGUUGGCGAGUUAAAAGCUCACCAAGGCGAAGAUCAGUAGCUGGCCUGAGAGGGCGGCCAGCCACAUUGGGACUGAGACACGGCCCAAACUCCUACGGGAGGCAGCAGUGGGGAAUCUUCUGCAAUGGGCGCAAGCCUGACAGAGCGGCGUCGUGUGAAGGAAGAAGGCCUGAAAUAGGUUGUAAACUUCUUUUACUGAGUAAUGAAUAAUGACAACGCAGUAAAAAAGUAUCGGCUAACUCCGUGCCAGCAGCCGCGGUAAUACGGGGGAUGCAAGCGUUAUCCGGAAUCACUGGGCGUAAAGCGUCUGUAGGUGGUUUAGUGUGUUCUUAGUUAAAUUAUGAAGCCUAACUUCAUGAAAAGUAAGAAAACUAUUAGACUUGAGUACGAUAGGGGUAAGAGGAAUUCUUCGAGAAGUAGUGAAAUGCGAAGAUACGAAGGAGAAGAUCAUAAGCGAAGGCUUCUUACUGGGUCGUAACUGACACUGAGAGACGAAAGCUAGGGGAGCGAAUGGGAUUAGAUACCCCAGUAGUCCUAGCUGUAAACGAUGGAUAUUCGGUGCCGGAUUUUAUUAGAACAUUUUGGUACCCUAGCUAACGCGUUAAAUAUCCCGCCUGAGGAGUACGCCCGCAAGGGUGAAACUCAAAGGAAUUGACGGGGGCUCGCACAAGCGGUGGAGCAUGUGGUU